RNAcentral lists this small RNA (106 nucleotides) under Marmota monax (woodchuck). The record is from RNAcentral. Lineage: Eukaryota; Metazoa; Chordata; Mammalia; Rodentia; Sciuridae.
GCUGGGCAUGGUGGUGCACACCUGUAAUCCCAGCAACUCAGGAAGCUGAGGCAGGAGGCUUGUGAGUUCAAAGCCUGCCUCAGAAACUCAGGAGACCCUGUCUCCA